Molecule: ribosomal RNA, 253 nt
Filed under: uncultured bacterium
Lineage: Bacteria
Description: partial 16S ribosomal RNA
Rfam family: Bacterial small subunit ribosomal RNA
Source: RNAcentral
UACGUAGGGUGCGAGCGUUGUCCGGAAUUACUGGGCGUAAAGAGCUCGUAGGUGGUUUGUCGCGUUGUUCGUGAAAUCUCACGGCUUAACUGUGAGCGUGCGGGCGAUACGGGCAGACUAGAGUACUGCAGGGGAGACUGGAAUUCCUGGUGUAGCGGUGAAAUGCGCAGAUAUCAGGAGGAACACCGGUGGCGAAGGCGGGUCUCUGGGCCGAUAUUGACGCUGAGGAGCGAAAGCGUGGGGAGCAAACAGG